CCUACGGGAGGCAGCAGUGGGGAAUAUUGGACAAUGGGCGAAAGCCUGAUCCAGCCAUGCCGCGUGUGUGAAGAAGGCCUUCGGGUUGUAAAGCACUUUCAGUGGGGAAGAAAGCCUUGGGGCUAAUACCCUCGAGGAAGGACAUCACCCACAGAAGAAGCACCGGCUAACUCCGUGCCAGCAGCCGCGGUAAUACGGAGGGUGCGAGCGUUAAUCGGAAUUACUGGGCGUAAAGCGCGCGUAGGCGGUCUGAUAAGCCGGUUGUGAAAGCCCCGGGCUCAACCUGGGAACGGCAUCCGGAACUGUCAGGCUAGAGUGCAGGAGAGGAAGGUAGAAUUCCCGGUGUAGCGGUGAAAUGCGUAGAGAUCGGGAGGAAUACCAGUGGCGAAGGCGGCCUUCUGGACUGACACUUACGCUGAGGUGCGAAAGCGUGGGUAGCAAACAGGAUUAGAUACCCCUGUAGUC
This 465-nucleotide ribosomal RNA is filed under the name Vreelandella stevensii. Its description in RNAcentral is "partial 16S ribosomal RNA". It matches the Rfam family "Bacterial small subunit ribosomal RNA", at positions 338 to 795 of the family's 1533-position model. Lineage: Bacteria; Pseudomonadati; Pseudomonadota; Gammaproteobacteria; Oceanospirillales; Halomonadaceae. The record is from RNAcentral.